CGGCGGACGGGUGAGUAACACGUGGAUAACCUACCUAUAAGACUGGGAUAACUUCGGGAAACCGGAGCUAAUACCGGAUAAUAUUUUGAACCGCAUGGUUCAAAAGUAAAAGACGGUCUUGCCGUCACUUAUAGAUGGAUCCGCGCUGCAUUAGUUAGUUGGUAAGGUAACGGCUUACCAAGGCAACGAUGCAUAGCCGACCUGAGAGGGUGAUCGGCCACACUGGAACUGAGACACGGUCCAG
This 244-nucleotide ribosomal RNA is filed under the name uncultured Staphylococcus sp. Its description in RNAcentral is "partial 16S ribosomal RNA". It matches the Rfam family "Bacterial small subunit ribosomal RNA", at positions 96 to 334 of the family's 1533-position model. Lineage: Bacteria; Bacillati; Bacillota; Bacilli; Caryophanales; Staphylococcaceae. The record is from RNAcentral.